This is a small nuclear RNA of Nycticebus coucang (slow loris), 137 nucleotides long. RefSeq annotates it as U4 spliceosomal RNA. NCBI's taxonomy places the organism in Eukaryota, Metazoa, Chordata, Mammalia, Primates, Lorisidae. The transcript has a single exon. The record is from RefSeq and is a predicted model, not a curated record.
AGCUUUGAACAGUGGCAGCAUUGUAGCUAAUGAGAUUUAGCCAAGGCACGAUUAUUGCUAAUUGAACUCUUUUCUCAAUACUCCACUGUGAGGACUUGCAAUAUAGUUAGCACUGGCAAUUUUUUUUUUUUUUUUUU